GGCUCAGAUGGUAAAGCGUCUGCCUGCAAUGCAGGAGACCCGGGUUCGAUUCCUGG
RNAcentral lists this transfer RNA (56 nucleotides) under Ovis aries (sheep). It matches the Rfam family "tRNA", at positions 9 to 63 of the family's 71-position model. From Rfam's summary of the family: Transfer RNA (tRNA) molecules are approximately 80 nucleotides in length. Lineage: Eukaryota; Metazoa; Chordata; Mammalia; Artiodactyla; Bovidae. The record is from Rfam by way of RNAcentral.